Molecule: ribosomal RNA, 255 nt
Filed under: uncultured bacterium
Lineage: Bacteria
Description: partial 16S ribosomal RNA
Rfam family: Bacterial small subunit ribosomal RNA
Source: RNAcentral
UACGUAGGGGGCUAACGUUGUCCGGAAUCAUUGGGCGUAAAGAGCGUGUAGGCGGCCCGGUAAGUCCGCUGUGAAAGUCGGGGGCUCAACCCUCGAAUGCCGGUGGAUACUGUCGGGCUAGAGUGCGGAAGAGGCGAGUGGAAUUCCUGGUGUAGCGGUGAAAUGCGCAGAUAUCAGGAGGAACACCAAUUGCGAAGGCAGCUCGCUGGGACGUGACUGACGCUGAGAACGCGAAAGCGUGGGGGAGCAAACAGG